Ribosomal RNA from Amphiprion percula (orange clownfish), 113 nucleotides. Lineage: Eukaryota; Metazoa; Chordata; Actinopteri; Pomacentridae. The record is from Ensembl.
GUUUGUUUGAGACUGAAUACACCUGAUCUCAUCUGAUCUGCAAAGCUAAGCAGGGUUGGGCCUGGUUAGUAUUUGGAUGGGAGACUACCUGGGAAUACCAGGUGCUGUAAGCU